This 236-nucleotide ribosomal RNA is filed under the name uncultured bacterium. Its description in RNAcentral is "partial 16S ribosomal RNA". It matches the Rfam family "Bacterial small subunit ribosomal RNA", at positions 100 to 334 of the family's 1533-position model. The record is from RNAcentral.
CGGCACGGGUGAGUAACACGUAUCCAACCUGCCGUCUACUCUUGGACAGCCUUCUGAAAGGAAGAUUAAUACAAGAUGGCAUCAUGAGUCCGCAUGUUCACAUGAUUGAAGGUAUUCCGGUAGACGAUGGGGAUGCGUUCCAUUAGAUAGUAGGCGGGGUAACGGCCCACCUAGUCUUCGAUGGAUAGGGGUUCUGAGAGGAAGGUCCCCCACAUUGGAACUGAGACACGGUCCAA